Non-coding RNA from Triticum urartu, 669 nucleotides. NCBI's taxonomy places the organism in Eukaryota, Viridiplantae, Streptophyta, Magnoliopsida, Poales, Poaceae. The record is from RefSeq and is a predicted model, not a curated record.
GUGUGUGGUUCUUAGAUGGUCCGCCGGCCCUGCUCUAGAGACGGUGCAGCUCAAGGAGUCAAAUGGUGUUUGGAGUGUUACUUGACCAAGAGAGUGGGAAAACCGAUACUAUUUAUAUGAAGUUGACGUGUAUCAUCCAACUAAGGCACAGAUUCUGAAAUGUUUAGCUGGUGACCUUUAUGCUAGAGGGUAUGUGGCUGUGCGUAUUUCAGUUAUGUAGUUCAGGGAGAGGAACUUUCCGCAGAAGAAAAAAGUUCAGGGAGAGGAAGAAACUAGCUUGUUGUUUAUUUGAUCAGCCUUUCUGCAAAUGGAGCGCGGACCUGGUUGGUUGACAUUAACAAUGAAACAUUGAAGCCAGCUUCCUGGGAUGAAUUGGCCGAUGAGAAGCCAAAACUUGAUUCCUGCUCUGACAUAACCAUCUACGAAUUGCACAUUCGUGAUUUUAGUGCCCAUGAUGGCACAGUGAACAUUGACUCUCGUGGAGGAUUUCGUGCAUUUGCAUACUAGGCCUCAGCAGGAAUGUUUGACUCAUGUGCAUUUGUUGCCAAGCUUUCAUUUUGCUGGUGUUGACGACAUUAAGAGCAACUGGAAAUUUUUCGGUAAGGAAAUAUUUCUCUUUAUAAAAGAUGAGUGUGAACUAGCAACAUUCCCUCCACGAUCAGAUAUGCA